RNAcentral lists this ribosomal RNA (253 nucleotides) under uncultured bacterium. RNAcentral's name for it is "partial 16S ribosomal RNA". It matches the Rfam family "Bacterial small subunit ribosomal RNA", at positions 524 to 776 of the family's 1533-position model. The record is from RNAcentral.
GACGGAGGGGGCUAGCGUUGUUCGGAAUGACUGGGCGUAAAGGGCGCGUAGGCGGUUUUUUAAGUGAGGCGUGAAAGCCCUGGGCUUAACCCAGGAGGUGCGUUUCAUACUGGAAGACUUGAGUACGAGAGAGGAAAGCGGAAUUCCUAGUGUAGAGGUGAAAUUCGUAGAUAUCGAGAGGAACACCUGCGGCGAAGGCGGGUUGCUGGGCUGAUACUGACGCUGAGGCGCGAAAGCCAGGGGAGCGAACGGG